This 76-nucleotide transfer RNA is filed under the name Streptomyces paromomycinus. RNAcentral's name for it is "tRNA-Arg". Lineage: Bacteria; Bacillati; Actinomycetota; Actinomycetes; Kitasatosporales; Streptomycetaceae. The record is from RNAcentral.
CCGCAGGUGCGCCGGCGUUGGCGGCGUCCUGCGCUGACGCCGAACGGAUCUGCGUGCCGUUGCGGCCGGCAGGCCA